ACAGGACAUGCCAAUGUUUAAAGAUAAUUUUGUUGAGAGAAGAUGAUCGUCUCCCAAAUCUAGAAAUAAAUUUAAAUCUAUGGUUGUAACGGACCGUUUUGCACAAAAGGGGAAAAAAAACGCUUAGACGAUAAUCCCCUUUCAGAGACAGGCACAGCUACUGUAGAAUCAUCAAAACUCACGAACUGAAUACAAGUGAAUGCUCC
Molecule: non-coding RNA, 206 nt
Organism: Pelobates cultripes (western spadefoot toad)
Lineage: Eukaryota; Metazoa; Chordata; Amphibia; Anura; Pelobatidae
Source: the annotation of a GenBank genome assembly